AAUCAACGCUGGCGGCGUGCCUCAGACAUGCAAGUCGAACGCGAAAGUCCCCUUCGGGGGACGAAGUAGAGUGGCGCACGGGUGAGUAACACGUAGGUAAUCUACCUUCGGAUGGGGAAUAACAACCGGAAACGGUUGCUAAUACCGCAUAAUGCAGCGGCACCUAAUGGUGACAGUUGUUAAAGCGGGGGAUCGAAAGACCCCGCGUCUGAAGAGGAGCCUGCGGCGGAUUAGCUAGNGGUAAGGUAAUGGCUUACCAAGGCGACGAUCCGUAGCCGGCCUGAGAGGGCGGUCGGCCACACUGACACUGACAUACGGGUCAGACUCCUACGGGAGGCAGCAGUCGGGAAUUUUGGGCAAUGGGCGAAANCCUGACCCAGCAACGCCGCGUGAAGGAUGAAAUCCCUCGGGAUGUAAAC
RNAcentral lists this ribosomal RNA (419 nucleotides) under uncultured bacterium. RNAcentral describes it as "bacterial SSU rRNA". It matches the Rfam family "Bacterial small subunit ribosomal RNA", at positions 32 to 430 of the family's 1533-position model. The record is from RNAcentral.